This 404-nucleotide ribosomal RNA is filed under the name Actinomycetes bacterium. Its description in RNAcentral is "Actinobacteria bacterium partial 16S ribosomal RNA". It matches the Rfam family "Bacterial small subunit ribosomal RNA", at positions 355 to 776 of the family's 1533-position model. The record is from RNAcentral. Lineage: Bacteria; Bacillati; Actinomycetota; Actinomycetes.
UGGGGAAUAUUGGACAAUGGGCGCAAGCCUGAUCCAGCCAUGCCGCGUGAGUGAUGAAGGCCCUAGGGUUGUAAAGCUCUUUCACCGGUGAAGAUAAUGACGGUAACCGGAGAAGAAGCCCCGGCUAACUUCGUGCCAGCAGCCGCGGUAAUACGAAGGGGGCUAGCGUUGUUCGGAUUUACUGGGCGUAAAGCGCACGUAGGCGGACUUUUAAGUCAGGGGUGAAAUCCCGGGGCUCAACCCCGGAACUGCCUUUGAUACUGGAAGUCUUGAGUAUGGUAGGGGUGAGUGGAAUUCCGGGUGUAGAGGUGAAAAUCGUAAAUAUUCAGAGGAACACCAGUGGCGAAGGCGGCUCACUGGACCAUAACUGACGAUGAGGUGCGAAAGAGUGGGGAGCAAACAGG